GGGCACCCAACUGGGAUGGUCCCAGUAUGAACAGCACACAACUGGGACGGUCCCAGUAUGAUGAGAACCUAACUGGGAGGGUCCCAGUAUAACGGGCGCCCAACUGGGAGGGUCCCAGUAUGGUGGGCACCCAACUGGAAGAGUCCCAGUAUGAACAGCACCCAACUGGGAGGACCCCAGUCUAGUGGGCGCCCAACUGGGAUGAUCCCAGUAUAAUGGGUACCCAACUGGGAUGGUCCCAGUAUGAACAGCACCCAACUGGGAUGGUCCCAGUAUGGUGGGCACCCAACUGGGAGGGCCCCAGUAUAACGGGCGCCCAACUGGGAUGAUCCCAGUAUGGUGGGCAUCCAACUGGGAGGGUCCCAGUAUGGUGGAUGCUCUACUGGGAGGGUCCCAGUAUGGUGGACACCCAACUGGGAGGGUCCCAGUAUGGUCAGUACCCAACUGGGAGGAUCCCAGUAUGAUGAGAACCUAACUGGGAGGGUCCCAGUAUGGUGGGCCCCCAACUGGGAGGGUCCCAGUAUGGUGGGUGCUCUACUGGGAGGGUCCCAGCAUGGUGGACACCCAACAGGGAGGGUCCCAGUAUGGUCAGCACCCAACUGGAGGGUCCCAGUAUGAUGAGAACCUAACUGGGAGGAUCCCAGUAUAACGGGCACCCAACUGGAAUGGUCCCAGUAUGGUGGGCGCCCAACUGGGAUGGUCCCAGUAUGAACAGCACCCAACUGGGCGGAUCCCGGUGUGAUGAGAACCAAACUGGGAGGGUCCCAGUAUAACGGGCGCCCAACUGGGAGGGUCCCAGUCUGGCGGGCGCCCAAGUGUGACGCUGGCACUCACCCGGUGGCCGCGCUGUCCCCGUUGCUGGUGGCCUCCAGCCGUGCCCUCUUGCCCCCAGGUCCUGGCAGAUCACCGUGCCGCUUCGGUGGCCCCUCUGGGGACGUGGAGGGGACGCCAUGAUGGGUGACACCGUGAUGGGUGACACCGGUGACGCCAUGUUGGGUGACACCAUGAUGGGUGACGCCGUGUUGGGUGAUGCCAUGUUGGGUGACACCGUGUUGGGUGACAUUGGUGACAUCGCCGUAGCUCGGGGUGCCAUUCAGGUGGGUGGCACUGCCAUCCACGGUGGUCCCACGGGUGACAUCGUGAUGGGUGACACCUCCACAGGCCCCAUGGCCAUCAGUGACGUGGUUAUGGGUGACAUCUCCACGGGUGACACCUCCACGGGUGACACCUCCAUGGGUGACACCUCCACCGGUUCUGUGCCCAUCACCGACGUGGUUCUGGGUGACGUCUCCCCAGGUGACACUUCCACAGGUGACAUCUCCCUGGUUCUGGGUGGCACCUCCACGGGUGACACCUCCGUGGGUGACAUCACCCCAGGAGGCACCUCCCCAGGUGACAUCUCUGUGGCUCUGGGUGACAUUUCCACGGGUGACGCUCCCCCAGGUGACAUCCCCAUGGUUGACAUCUUCGUGGUUCCAGGUGACACCUCCGUGGGUGACACCUCCGUGGCUCCAGGUGACAUCUCCGUGGUUCUGGGUGACAUCUCCAUGGGUGCCACCUCCGUGGGUGCCACCUCCGUUGGCGACAUCUCCAUGAGCAACACCUCCUUGGGUGCCACCCCCACGGUUCCAGGUGUCACCUCCACGGGUGCCACCCCCACGGCUCCGGCUGCCCCCCCCGCCACCCCCACCCCGUGUCCCCACCGCUUGUCCCCUGCCGUCCCCUCCGGCCCCCCAGGCGCUGUCCCCGUUGGCGCCGGGCGCCAUGCCGCCUUUGGCGCCCGCCAUGUUGCGCAGGACGAACUCCACGAUGUCGGACGGGAGGUCCUCGGUGUCACCUCCUUGUCCCCCCUGUCCCUUGUCCCCAUCGUCCACCCCGUCCAGCUGCUGGAUGUGGGGCUGCUCGGUGCCGUGGGGCGGAGCCGUGGGGCGCAGGGAUGA
Molecule: long non-coding RNA, 1940 nt
Organism: Phasianus colchicus (ring-necked pheasant)
Lineage: Eukaryota; Metazoa; Chordata; Aves; Galliformes; Phasianidae
Source: Ensembl